AGAAGAAACUUACGAGGAUUCCCCUAGUAACGGCGAGCGAACCGGGAGCAGCCCAGCUUGAGAAUCGGACGGCCCCGCCGCCCGAAUUGUAGUCUGUAGAAGCGUCCUCAGCGACGGACCGGGCCCAAGUCCACUGGAAAGUGGCGCCGGAGAGGGUGAGAGCCCCGUCGUGCCCGGACCCUGCCGCACCACGAGGCGCUGUCGGCGAGUCGGGUUGUUUGGGAAUGCAGCCCCAAUCGGGCGGUAAAUUCCGUCCAAGGCUAAAUACCGGCGAGAGACCGAUAGCGAACAAGUACCGCGAGGGAAAGAUGAAAAGGACUUUGAAAAGAGAGUCAAAGAGUGCUUGAAAUUGUCGGGAGGGAAGCGGAUGGGGGCCGGCGAUGCGCCUCGGUCGGAAGCGGAACGGCGUCCAGCCGGUCCGCCGCUCGACUCGGGGCGCGGACCGUUGCGGGUCGCGGCGGCGGCCUAAGCCCUUGCGGACGAUCCCGCGCGCGGAGACGCCGUCGCCUCGACCGGGGGAGUCAGCACGCGCCGCGUCGGCGUGCCACCCGGCACCAGCGUGCUCCCGGCAGACGGCCUGCGGG
Molecule: ribosomal RNA, 584 nt
Filed under: Mespilodaphne quixos
Lineage: Eukaryota; Viridiplantae; Streptophyta; Magnoliopsida; Laurales; Lauraceae
Description: eukaryotic LSU rRNA
Rfam family: Eukaryotic large subunit ribosomal RNA
Source: RNAcentral